CCUACGGGAGGCAGCAGUGAGGAAUAUUGGUCAAUGGCCGGAAGGCUGAACCAGCCAUGCCGCGUGAAGGUCAGUGCCCUAUGGGCGUUAAACUUCUUUUGUGCGGGAGCAAUAAUGGUCACGUGUGGCCAGACGAGAGUACCGUACGAAUAAGCAUCGGCUAACUCCGUGCCAGCAGCCGCGGUAAUACGGGGGGUGCAAGCGUUAUCCGGAUUUAUUGGGUUUAAAGGGUGCGUAGGCUGUGAGGUAAGUCAGCGGUGAAAUGCCCCCGCUCAACGGGGUGAAGUGCCAUUGAUACUGCCUGGCUGGAAUGCGGAUGCCGUGGGAGGAAUGUGUGGUGUAGCGGUGAAAUGCAUAGAUAUCACACAGAACACCGAUUGCGAAGGCAUCUCACGAAUCCGCGAUUGACGCUGAUGCACGAAAGCGUGGGUAUCAAACAGGAUUAGAUACCCCAGUAGUC
RNAcentral lists this ribosomal RNA (460 nucleotides) under uncultured bacterium. RNAcentral describes it as "partial 16S ribosomal RNA". It matches the Rfam family "Bacterial small subunit ribosomal RNA", at positions 338 to 795 of the family's 1533-position model. The record is from RNAcentral.